Molecule: long non-coding RNA, 620 nt
Organism: Neopsephotus bourkii (Bourke's parrot)
Lineage: Eukaryota; Metazoa; Chordata; Aves; Psittaciformes; Psittacidae
Exons: 2
Source: RefSeq, a predicted model, not a curated record
CACCGAUCCUCCCCAGGGCAUCACCCAGCCCCACAGCCCCCAGUUCCCCCCCCAGGACUCCUGGGUUCCCUACAUGCAGCACCCAAAGGCAUCCCAUGGGAUGUGGGCAGGAUAACGGGACACCCCUCACCCUGCAGGCCUAUGAGUGCCUGUUUGGGCUGACAGGGAUAGGGGAACCUGGGGCAAUAGGGUGGAGGCUGCAGUGGGGAGGUGUGAGGGGUGGGUGCAAUGCUCCCAGGAUAGCGGGGUGCUCCGAUGGACAUGGGAUGCUCAAGGUGGGUGGGAUGCCCAGAGGAGGACAGGAUGCUCGAGGCCAGGGGAAUGUUAUGAUGUGGAUGUGGAUGGGAUGCCUUGAAAAGGACAGGAUGCUCGAGGCCAGGGGAAUGCUAUGACGUGGAUGUGGAUGGGAUGCCUUGAAAAGGACAGGAUGCUGGAGGCCAAUGGGAUGCUCCGAGGCAGUGCCUCCACCACCAGAAGCAGGGUUGCCCUGCUCCCGUCCCCCUCCAUGCAUGUCCAGGCGGUCCCUGCGCCCGCUGCAGGGCAGGACGCGGCGUUCCAGCGGUUCCCGAGCUGUCCGUGCCCACCGAAACGCUCCCACAAUAAACCCACUGUGAGUGCUG